UGCCGCGUGAGUGAGAAGGCCUUAGGGUUGUAAAACUCUUUCAACUGUGAGGAUGAUGACAGUAGCAGUAGAAGAAGCACCGGCUAACUUCGUGCCAGCAGCCGCGGUAAUACGAAGGGUGCGAGCGUUGUUCGGAAUUACUGGGCGUAAAGGGCGUGUAGGCGGAUUGCAAAGAUAGAGGUGAAAGGCCUGGGCUCAACCUGGGAACUGCCUUUAUAACUUGCAGUCUAGAGAUCGAGAGAGGAUAGCGGAAUUCCUAGUGUAGAGGUGAAAUUCGUAGAUAUUAGGAAGAACACCAGUGGCGAAGGCGGCUAUCUGGCUCGAUACUGACGCUGAGGCGCGAAAGCGUGGGGAGCAAACAGGAUUAGAUACCCUGGUAGUCCACGCCGUAAACGAUGUGAACUAGUCGUCAGGAUGCUUGCAUCUUGGUGACGGAGCUAACGUAUUAAGUUCACCGCCUGGGGAGUACGGUCGCAAGAUUAAAACUCAAAUGAAAUUGACGGA
RNAcentral lists this ribosomal RNA (504 nucleotides) under uncultured Kiloniella sp. Its description in RNAcentral is "bacterial SSU rRNA". It matches the Rfam family "Bacterial small subunit ribosomal RNA", at positions 395 to 917 of the family's 1533-position model. Lineage: Bacteria; Pseudomonadati; Pseudomonadota; Alphaproteobacteria; Rhodospirillales; Kiloniellaceae. The record is from RNAcentral.